RNAcentral lists this long non-coding RNA (216 nucleotides) under Elaeis guineensis (African oil palm). RNAcentral describes it as "long non-coding RNA (EGUI_LNC054358)". The record is from RNAcentral. Lineage: Eukaryota; Viridiplantae; Streptophyta; Magnoliopsida; Arecales; Arecaceae.
AGACCGCCACGGUGACUUGCAAGCAACUCAUUGCACUUAGAUACUGGACUACCUGAAUUUCUAAUUUAGUGACGGAAGGCUGCUGGGUAUAGUCAAGUAUUUGACUUGUCGGUGCGUGUGUCAAGAUGGGAUUGAUCACUGCAGUUCAGGAGCUGUGUACAGUCAUAUUUCAAUUUAGCAAAACCUUGAUCAGAGUAGUCCUAGUGAAGAGUCACA